Rhodamnia argentea is the source of this 354-nucleotide long non-coding RNA. RefSeq lists it as uncharacterized. NCBI's taxonomy places the organism in Eukaryota, Viridiplantae, Streptophyta, Magnoliopsida, Myrtales, Myrtaceae. The transcript has 2 exons. The record is from RefSeq and is a predicted model, not a curated record.
GAAAAUGGACUUACCCCGUCCAAUCUCCUAAACUAGAUUAUUUCAGACCUAAUAGAAUCAAGAAUCCUCCUUUUUAAUGCAAUUCUAGCGGAAGGCCAUAAUUCCCUCCAUCGGUAACCUUGAGUCUCCUACACUUUAAGAAGUCUCCUACAACUUAAGCAUGAGAAGGAGUUAUUCUCUUCACAUCGACCCUCACCCAAUCAAUGAGUCUUUAUAUUGUAACCUAUAUGAAGGUCACGCAGCAUACUAUAAACAAUUCUCAAUAAGACACGCACCGAGUUUGGGUUCAUUAUCUAUCACAGGUAUAGAUCAAGAAGCCAUGAUUAAAUGACUAGGAGAGGUGUGUUGUUUGAG